Molecule: ribosomal RNA, 465 nt
Filed under: Vreelandella stevensii
Lineage: Bacteria; Pseudomonadati; Pseudomonadota; Gammaproteobacteria; Oceanospirillales; Halomonadaceae
Description: partial 16S ribosomal RNA
Rfam family: Bacterial small subunit ribosomal RNA
Source: RNAcentral
CCUACGGGAGGCUGCAGUGGGGAAUAUUGGACAAUGGGGGGAACCCUGAUCCAGCCAUGCCGCGUGUGUGAAGAAGGCCCUCGGGUUGUAAAGCACUUUCAGUGAGGAAGAACGCCUGGUGGUUAAUACCCAUCAGGAAAGACAUCACUCACAGAAGAAGCACCGGCUAACUCCGUGCCAGCAGCCGCGGUAAUACGGAGGGUGCGAGCGUUAAUCGGAAUUACUGGGCGUAAAGCGCGCGUAGGUGGCUUGAUAAGCCGGUUGUGAAAGCCCCGGGCUCAACCUGGGAACGGCAUACGGAACUGUCAAGCUAGAGUGCAGGAGAGGAAGGUAGAAUUCCCGGUGUAGCGGUGAAAUGCGUAGAGAUCGGGAGGAAUACCAGUGGCGAAGGCGGCCUUCUGGACUGACACUGACACUGAGGUGCGAAAGCGUGGGUAGCAAACAGGAUUAGAUACCCCGGUAGUC